GACAGGAGCUUGCUCCUGGAUUCAGCGGCGGACGGGUGAGUAAUGCCUAGGAAUCUGCCUGGUAGUGGGGGACAACGUUUCGAAAGGAACGCUAAUACCGCAUACGUCCUACGGGAGAAAGCAGGGGACCUUCGGGCCUUGCGCUAUCAGAUGAGCCUAGGUCGGAUUAGCUAGUUGGUGAGGUAAUGGCUCACCAAGGCGACGAUCCGUAACUGGUCUGAGAGGAUGAUCAGUCACACUGGAACUGAGACACGGUCCAGACUCCUACGGGAGGCAGCAGUGGGGAAUAUUGGACAAUGGGCGAAAGCCUGAUCCAGCCAUGCCGCGUGUGUGAAGAAGGUCUUCGGAUUGUAAAGCACUUUAAGUUGGGAGGAAGGGCAUUAACCUAAUACGUUAGUGUUUUGACGUUACCGACAGAAUAAGCACCGGCUAACUCUGUGCCAGCAGCCGCGGUAAUACAGAGGGUGCAAGCGUUAAUCGGAAUUACUGGGCGUAAAGCGCGCGUAGGUGGUUUGUUAAGUUGGAUGUGAAAG
Molecule: ribosomal RNA, 533 nt
Filed under: Pseudomonas sp. T8(2015)
Lineage: Bacteria; Pseudomonadati; Pseudomonadota; Gammaproteobacteria; Pseudomonadales; Pseudomonadaceae
Description: bacterial SSU rRNA
Rfam family: Bacterial small subunit ribosomal RNA
Source: RNAcentral